Long non-coding RNA from Pan troglodytes (chimpanzee), 5654 nucleotides. RefSeq lists it as uncharacterized. The transcript is spliced from 6 exons. The record is from RefSeq and is a predicted model, not a curated record. Lineage: Eukaryota; Metazoa; Chordata; Mammalia; Primates; Hominidae.
GUUUCAACAUCAAAUAUGUUUCUGUAAGGCCAGAUUCUUGGGCAAAGUUGUUUUAGCGAUCUGGUUGCAACUAAGCUAAAAGUAGACAUUUGACACAGUUUUGGACACUAAGAUAUAAACAACUCACUGGAUUGCCAUUUGCCAGCUGACCUGUGACACAGCAGCAGUGUAUUACAUUUUCAAUGAGCAGUCUGUCUGGAGCUGCUAGUGGGAGAAACUGCUUCCUGGUUUCUAGGUUCUUUGCUCUGGGGUAGUUUAAGAUAAAUAUGGUAUCUGCCUCUACAUCAGUAUUAAGGGGAGGCAGAUGAUGAAUAAAUGAACAAAAAAUAUAAUAAUGGAUAUGUAUUUAUAAGUGCUAUGAAGAGAAGAAAUCCAAGCAAGAAGAGAGUGAAAUGAGGGUCUCACUGGGUUUCCCAAGAACUGGAGUGUGGUGGUUCACUGCAGACUCAAUCUUCCCAGCUCAAGUGAUCUUCCCACUUCAGCCUCCCUUGUUGUUGGGACUACAGUCACGUGCCACCACACUAGGCUAAUCCAGGUAAUAUUUUUUUUUGGUGAGGGGGUGGGAACAGAGUUUUGCCAUGUUGCCCAGGCUGGUCUCAAACUCCUGGGCUCAAGAUAUCUGCCUGCCUUGGCCUCCCACAGUGCUGGGAUUAUAGGUGUGAGCCACCCCUCCUGGCCCAGGGUUAUGUUCUUAAUUGAAAUAAUGAAGUAAAGAGAUUAGAGAUUGUGAUUUGAGAUUGUCUGCAUCUUAGAAAUUAUUAUGAAAUUUUGAUAUUGGGGAAAAUUUCUAAUUUGUGUAAGUCUGAUUUGAAAAUUUGAUUGAGUGUAUACCUUACUUUUUUUAAAAAAAUAUGCUGUUUAAAUUUUAAGUUUAUGUCUGGGUUGCUUUAGCUACUCCCCAUAACUUUUGGUAGGUUAGGUUAUUACUGUCACUUAGUUAUUGUAUAUUUAACGUUCCUUGUGAUUUUCUCUUUGAUCCUUGGGUUACUUAGUAAGUUGUAUGCUUUUAAAAUUUCAAAUAUCUUCUUAUUGAUUUCUAAGUAAAUGCCAUGUGGCCAGUAAACAUGUUCUAGAUGACUUUGAUCUCUUAAAAUAAAUAGAAUAGGCCAGGCACCGUGGCUCACGCCUGUAAUCCCAGCACUUUAGGAGGCUGAGACGUGCUGAUCAGAAGGUCAGGAGAUCAAGACCAUCCUGGCUAACACAGUGAAACGCCAUCUCUACUAAAAAUACAAAAAAUUAGCCGGGUGAGGUGGUGGGUACCUGUAGUCCCAGCUGCUCAGGAGGCUAAGGCAGGAGAACGGCAUGAACCCCGGGGGACGGAACCUGCCGUGAGCCGAGAUUGUGCCACUGCACUCCAACCUGGGCGACAGCGAGACUCUGUCUCAAAAAAAAAAAAAAAAAAAAAAAAUUAGCCAGGCAUGGUGUCAGGCGCCUUUAGUCCCAGCUACUCAGGAGGUUGAGGCAGGAGAAUGGCGUGACCCAGGAGGCAGAGCUUGCAGUGAGCUGAGAUCGAGCCACUGCACUCCAGCCUGGGCAACUGAGUGAGACUCUGUCUCAAAAUAAAUAAAUAAAUAAAAAAUAAACAGAAUAUUGUUUUAUGGCCCAGCAUAUAAUCAAUAUUGGUCAGUGUUACAUGCAUACAUGAGGACUUUCUCUGCUGCUAUUUGGUUCAUUAUUCUCUAAACAUCCAUUAGAUCAACUUAUUAAUAGUAUUGUUCAAUUAUAUAUUCCUGAUGAUAUUUUAUCUACUUGUUAGUUUCCAACUAUAGUUGUGAAUUUUUCUAUUUUUAACUUUAUUUCUGCCAAUUUUUACUCUAAGUAGUUAGACACUUUGUUUUCGGUGUCACUGAUUUAACACUAUUGUUAUAAUUGUUAAUAUUUUAUUAUUAUAAAUAUUGCUAUUAUUGUUAUUAGGUGCUAUUACAUACUUACACCUAAAAACAAUGUAAUACAACCAUAUUAGAAAAUUUUGAAGAUAUUAAUGACUUGCUUAAAAAAUAGCAAUAGAAUGUCUGAAAUGACCAAAAUACUUUUUUAAAGAGGAUAAGUGUUCACAACAAAAGCAGGCAAUUUACUUAAAGUUCCUGUUAGUGCAGUUCAAAGUUUGUUUUGAUAAGCUUUAUUUUUUUAAUUCUCAAAAACUUGCACUUUAAGCUUAGAGUUAUAAAAUUAGGCUAAGAAGGUUAGAAUAGUCAGAAAUUCAAGAACAAAUACAAAUAAAAUACAUUGAAUGUUAAAAGAAAAGAAGAAUCCAGAGGUCUGCUAGUGUUACCCUAUAAGCAGGCAUAUGAGCAUACUCAAGUUAAAAAUAAUGUAGUAAUCUGAUCAAGAUCUCAAAAAAUAGAAUUUGACAGAUAGGUUUGGUCUCCAGAGCUAGUGAUCAUUUGUCAGAAGCAUGCCACACAAAUAAAGAUAGACUGCAGUAUUUUAGAGGAGAUUACACUUCAUCUUCCAGUUUUUAAAUGAUUUUGUUUUUACAUAAGGCAACAGACAAAGAACACUGAAUGAUCACUAGCAUUAAAUAAUAACCAGUGACCCACAUUACAUAUAUUGAUUAGCUAACCCUUUCUAGAUGUUGGUGUUCUUAAACUUGUCAAUAGCUCUUCACAAUUAAAAAUAACAUUGAGUGGGAAAGCACCAUUUAUCAUCUGUCUGGUCAAAGACAACCCAACUUAACUUAGUGGAUUAUAGAUUUGGAAUAGAUCAUUCAGGAAAAGAUCUGAAGAUAUCAAUGGGUAUUAAUUGGGGGGAAAGUUAUUGUUAUAUUAUUUCACAAUACAGAAAUGUGUGCAAAUAAUAAAAGUGCAGCAGUAUUAAUUUUCCCAAAAUAAGACACCUGUGAAACUACUGCCUCAAUCAAUAAAUAUUACAUUACCAGCAUCAAGAAGCCUCUUCUUGCUUCUUCCUAGUCAUUAACCUUCAAGGUAACCACUAUUCUGAUAUCUAACAUCUUGGUAGAUAUAUUAAUAUCAUAUUAAAACAUGUCACACAUGAAAUAAAAAUUACCACAUUGAUUUAAAGAUGCUCUGAUAAUUUCUAUAACAGCUAUCAUUUAAAAAUUACAAAUACUAUAAGUGAAUUGCAAAUUAUAGUGUUGCCUUGUAGGUUUAAAGUAAAUUAUAGCUGUUCUUCAUAUUCUUCAUAGAGGAGUUUAUUUAAUUGAAUGAAAUUUUAAAAACUUAAUAUUUCCCAGUACCUAUGGUUUUCAAGUCUACUAGAUACUAAGGUAUCUGUCUUUAUGGAUUUGAUCAUUAUAUACAUUUGUAGAUAUAUUUUGUAAUUGACACCUAAUCAUUGUACACAUUAUGAAACACAGGGUGACAUUUCAAUACAUAUAUACAAUGUAAGUAAGUAUCAUUUCAAGGCAAAAAGGGAACUCUUAUACACUGCUGGUGAAAAUAAAAAUUAGUACAGUCACUAUGUAAAACAGUAUGAAGACUCUCUAAAAACUAAAAAUAAAACUACCAUAUGAUCCAGAAAUCACUCUACUGUGUAUUUAUCCAAAGUAAAGGAAAUUAGUAUUUCAAAAAGUUAUGGACCCCCGUGUUUAUUGUAGCUCUAUUCACAAUAGCUGAGAUAUGAAAUCAACAUAAAUGUCUAUCAAAGGAUACAUGGAUAAAGCAAAUGUUAUACACACAUAUGCGCGUGCGCGCACACACACACACACAUACACACACAGUUGAACACUAUUCAGCCCUGAAAAAGAAUAAAAUCCUGUAAUUCAUCGCAACAUGGAUGGAACCGGAGGACAUUAUGUAAGUGAAGUAUGAGAAGCACAGAAAGACACAAAUCACAAAUUCUCACUCAUGUGGGAGGCACAAAAGUUGUGCUCAUAGAAGUAGACUACUGGUUACUAGAGGCAGGGAAGGAGAAGGGAGAGGAUGGUUAUUGAAUACAAAAUUAGAGCUAGAUAGAAGGGGUAAGUUCUAGUAUUCUAUAGCACUGUAGGAUGACUAUCAUUAAUAAAAAUUUAUUAUAUGUUUUCAGACCGCUAGAAGAGAGGAUUUUGAAUGUUCCCAAAACAAAGAAAUAAUCAUUGCUAUUACUAUUUUUACUACAAAUUAGUGCAAUUAUCUUUAGUAAUAAUAUUAAGGAGUAACAAGGAGAAGAAUCAGAAGGUGAAAGAAGAGGAUAAAAGAUUUAUUUUAAAUAUUUUUCAUUUUGAAAAAAAUUUAUUUUCUUUGUAAUCCAAGAGUUUAUUUGAGAAAGGAUUCUAAAUAAUAUCAAAGGCAUUUAUAUUUAUUUUACUUUCAUAUGACUUUUGUAAUUUAUUUUAAAUUUUGCUCAACUUUAUGUAACUUCUCCCUUAUAAGUUUCUGAUAUAUGGAAGUAUUUGGAGACAUAGGACAAAGGUGUAAAACCAAAUAAAAGUAUAAAAUAGAUAUUAUGUACUGUGCUCAAACACAUACAUAACAGCAUUCAAACACACACACACCUGCAAUUUGAUUGUCUUAGUUAGACAUCCCCUUUUAUCCUUCAUAUUCUGCUUGCUAUUUAGUAUUGAAAGACUCAGGGAAGUCUCUACACUUAAAAGAUCUUGAUUUUUAAUGACAGGAGAGAGUAAAUAAGAAUAUGGAAAUGGGAAGAUAAUCAUAUUUGGGUGACUUCUAUCUCUACAUUUAUAUUCCUUCUGAGUAAUGAGAUAACUUCCUCAUGUCAAAGUUUUAUGUCCUUAUAGAUACAAUUUUUAAAUAUUAUUUUUGUAAAUUUUUAUCAUUAUUAUGCUCUUUCUCAUGCACUAACUCACUUGAUUCUCGUAAAAAAACUUGAAUUGAUUGGUAUAUUUUCCAAAUUUUGCAGAUUAAAAAAGUAAGACUCAAAAACUUAAGUAAAUUUCCUGAAAUUAUAUGUCUAAUGACUAUGGUUGGAGCUGGAUCGCAAAGUCAGAUCUGGCCUCAUUUUGCAAACAUAUUCUACACAGAAUAAAAAUUGUAGAUAACCGUUGUGUUUAGAAUUCACAAAGUCAACAAUUUCUGGUUUCUGCCUAUCAAAAUUCGAAGAAAUUCCAGUUUUUUUAGAGUCUCUCCCAAUCCUGAUAUGUCCACAAAUCUGGAACUAUAAUUUUGUUGAGAAUAUUUUCCAUGAAAAUUGCAUACAUAAUACAGUGAUUAAAAAUUAAUUUACUAAAUGUUUUCCACUAAUGAAUUCAGUUCAUUGGAAAGUGCAAACACGAAUGACACAGGCAAUUUUUCUAUUAUCUUUAUAUUGUAUUAUUUAUUCACCAUGGCCGUAUUUUCAUGAUAUUUAGAAUUCUUACGUUGAGUUGACAGACAGUACUAAGAGAUUCAGCUAACUUAACCCUUGCCUUUUUAUAAGUUAUAGACAUAUUGUUAUCAAUAUAUGAUCAGACAGAAUAUAGAGGGGCAUAUAAGUGACAAACCAAGGAUUAUAUAAUCAUUUACCCUAUGCAAUAUAACUGUCUGACAUAUGUACAUACACAUAAAAUAUACAUAGUUAUAUGUUUAAUAUACACAAUUUCCACUUAAUCUUUGGAAAACUGAGAGCUAGCUCUUUGCUAUUUCAACUUCUUACUUUCUUUACUUGAAAACUUGAAGUUUUAUUCCCUUUGGAAAAUUAAUUAGAGAAAAAUAACUUAAAAACCCACUUAAGUUGUCUCUAUUUUAUUGUUAGUUGGAUUCAGAAAAUAAUAUAUU